Molecule: long non-coding RNA, 3828 nt
Filed under: Solanum tuberosum (potato)
Lineage: Eukaryota; Viridiplantae; Streptophyta; Magnoliopsida; Solanales; Solanaceae
Description: long non-coding RNA (STUB_LNC005142)
Source: RNAcentral
AAACAUAUAUUCAAAGAAGAGUUUUUAAUCAAUCAAAACAGGGCCUAAAGAGUACUUUGUUGUGAUGAUUAAGUUUUAUCUAACAUGCAGAAUUAUAUUAGUCCCGACUCCUGAGUUAAGAAAGGAUCAUUUUCUCUCUUACUGAUUUUGGUGUCAUAAAAUAUACAAGUUAACACAGAGUGCCAAUAUUUAUAUAUACAUCAUCAAGUAACCAUCCAGUAAUUACUAAUCUGAUACUAAAUCAACCGAUAUCUUAUCAAUUAGCCAGUAAAUUUUUCCUUCAGUGAUGUAUAUACUUCUUCAAUUAGCUUACUUUAUCAUCAUCCAUUUUCCUUGGCUUGAGCUCCAUAUGCGUUGCCUGCAACAAUUAUAGUAACAUGUAUGCCAUCAAAAUUAUGGGUUUUUGUUCUUUUGAACGAUGACAAAAUACAACAAGAUGGAAUUAGCAUUGUCAUCUACGCUAACAACUAAUAAUAAUAAUAAGAGUGUCUCAAAUGCUUCUUUGGACAGGCUAGACACACAAAGGGUACAAUACCUGAUUUACCUUACCUCUCAUGUUCUGCCGGCAGUGAUAUUUUUGCAUCAUAAGGCUUUGCGGGACGGGGAGGGUUUGAAAUAUGCAGGGCAGGGCAUAUGCGAGGCGAGUUGAAAUAGAUUUUUGAGAAAUUGAUAUGCGACGGAUUGUGGAUUCUUCAUACUUAACUUCGCUGAAAUGGCCAAAAUUUGUUUUUAUUUCUUUUUGCUUAUGUGAGAGGCCAAAAUAACAAAUUCUAACACUCAUUAAUUAAAAAUAGUAGUAUAUUACCAACAAAUGAAUUGGAUAUAGAUCUAUAUUCUGAUGAGACAUUUUGUAAACAAAACAUUCUAAUAGGGUAGAUCCGCCCGUCCACUCCCCAAUCAAUCUCACUCAUGGAUCCAAAAAUUGCUUUCAAAAUCAAUAACCAAAUGGAUUCUUUCAUUUUUGACGCAUUGCUUGGUUGCAUUCAAUCUAAUUCAAACUUUUAUAUUUAAUUAAAAAAAAAUCAUCUAUUUAUGAUCACAAUCAAUUUCUAUGUAGUAAAGAGAUUGUUUCUUUCACUUAUGAAUUUUCGUAACUAAUUGUGUUAUUUAUAAUUUAUCAAAAUAUUGUGCUAUGUACUUAUGUAAGAUUUAGGAUAAUACAUGAUCUAUCAUUUUAAAAAUGAUAAUUUUAUGUCAAAUUUAUAAGUAUUUUUUGAAGUUCUCAAAACAUACGAGUUUGAAAUCAAAAACUAUAAUUGAACACACAUUCUCAAAAGAAAUUCAAAAUCUAUACUCAAAUGCUAGCAAAAAGAAGUGUAGUCCAACCUCAAUUAUACCUCAAUCUCAAACUAGUCAAAAUCAACCAUGUUAUAUUCUCACUGCUCAUUUCGCUCCAUUUAAACUCGUCUCGAUCUUACACAACUGAGGUCAUGAAACUUUUUCCAUUAAAAAAAUGGCAUUUAGAUGUGGUUGCUCUUCCUUCUUAAAGCAGAGGUCUAACCCAUCGGUGACCCCUUAAAGUUGGCACGAAGUUUCACUUACGCACCUCAAGUGGGCGAUGUUCAUUUUAGACACUUCUUAUAGGGUCUCGCUAUGUCAUUUUAACACUCUUUUGCCAAUCAACAAAAAUAUAUGAGGUGUGUGUUACACGUGUUACACUUGCAAAUGAUGUGUAAAGUGACGAAUUAAAUGACGACAUUUGUCAAAAACAAUUUGUAGAUAAUGAAUUUUGAUUAAAAAUAUAAACCCCCGAAUUGUCUUCUCCAAAAACCCAUACCCAUUUGCAGAAACACCUGCCCCCCUCCCCCCACCUUCUCCAAAUACCCCUACUCAUUUGCAGAAAAAUCUGCACAUACCCAGUCCCCCACCCCAUUGUCUUCUCUAAAUACACCAUCUCUUUUUUGCUAAAACAUCUGGGCAUCUACACUCUUUCUUUUUUAUUAGUGUCUUCUUCAAAAAAAAAAUUUCUUUUUUACCCUAAUUAGCAGGUUUAUAAUUCACCAAAAAUUAAACUUACUCCUCUUUAAAUAUUAAAUUCUUUCAANNNNNNNNNNNNNNNNNNNNNNNNNNNNNNNNNNNNNNNNNNNNNNNNNNNNNNNNNNNNNNNNNNNNNNNNNNCCAUCUCUUUUUUGCUAAAACAUCUGGGCAUCUACACUCUUUCUUUUUUAUUAGUGUCUUCUUCAAAAAAAAAAUUUCUUUUUUACCCUAAUUAGCAGGUUUAUAAUUCACCAAAAAUUAAACUUACUCCUCUUUAAAAAUUAAAUUCUUUCAAAAAAGAAUCUCAUGAAUAAUUUAAUAUUUAAUCUUGAAAUGGAUCUAUUCCUAAAUUUCUAAAAUAGUUUCCAUCAUUUUACUGUAACUAUUUUUAUUCACCAUGUUGGAUAUUUAAGUUUGCAAAAAUGGUGGCUGAAAAUGGGAAAGAAGAAGAAAAAAUAAUUAAAAAAUCGACUAAAUAGGUUUUUCAGGCGCGCUCAACAGGUCUAUUACACUCACUAAGUCAUAUAAGCAAAAAGUGUCAAAAUGACAUAGUGAAACCCGACAUAAGGUGUUUAAAAUGAACCUUGCCCAGUUAAAGUGUCUAAGUAAAAAUUAGUGUCAGCUUUAAGGGCCACCAAUGGGUUAGAACUAAAGCAGAUAAUUGAUUCAAAUUGGCUCAUGGGAGUCAUUAGUCAUAACCUUGAGUGGGAAUAGACCAUCUGAAUAGCCCCACAACAAUGUCUCCAACCACACAUAAAAGAAGUUCUCUUUGAAAUCAACCAGUCAAAAGGAGGUUCAAAAUUAAUAGAGCAACACACAGGUCCACAUAUUCUACUCUUUCCAUAAAAAAAUCAUCAACCAAAAGAAUUACUCCAAUUUCUCCACGUCACUAACUUUUUAUCUUUUCAAUUAAACUACUUCAAAAACAACGUUCAUGCUACAUGUGAUGUUUAAUAAAACUUACCAUUACACUUCAAAUCACAAUCUUUGAAGGGAUGGAUGAUAAUGAAAUUUUCUACUGAAAAUCCUGUCUACGCCACUCUAUACGACUGUACAACUGGCAGAGAGUCUCAGGUGACCAUGAUCAUCAAGUAUGAUCUUUCCUUGGAGUAAAAUAUUGAACUAAACAAAGGAGAGGUAAGUUCGCCGAUUCAGUGCCUGCCAUCUAAUUCUAUGUUGUAAUUUCAAACUUUAUGUCAGGGAAAUAAAAAAACUGCACUGGAAUGGGGAGAGUAGCAUGAACCAAUAAAACACAAUUGAGAAACCAAGCAAACAUCAUCUAUGUGAAUUGAUUUCGCUAACCACCAUUUUACACCAACCACAUCCAACGCCAACAACGAAUAGGGUCUAUGGCAAUGAAACAAUGCUAGUGAUAAACUCACAAACGCUAGAAAUAAGGCCUCAAUUCCUGCCCCUUGAAGUUGGAAAAUGAUAAUCAAGUUCUUAAAAACUUAAGCCGUUACUUUAAAAGGCAUACCACGUUGUCUCUAGCAUAUAUGAUGCUAAGGCCUAGUAAUAUGGAAGUAUCUGAGUGAAAUACCUCAAAUAAAGAGACACAACAAGUACCCUACUGAAGGCAAAUCAAAACAACACAGAAUCAGUACAGAAGCAAAUGUAUAAUAUAAUUUGAACUUGUUGCUCUAUUAAAUACCACUCCCCUGCUCUCCUCCCCUUAGUGAUAGAGUCAAGACUAACACAAGCUGGCCCAAACAUCACCAUUAUAUCCCAUCGGCAAGUACAUACAAUUUAGUUCACAUUCUAAAUCAAUGGAACUUAAAGAUCGAAUUAAAUUGAUCACAAAGAAUUCAGUAUUUUACUAUUUUAUCAAUGAAGAUGAUAAGAAGAGCUGAA